RNAcentral lists this ribosomal RNA (513 nucleotides) under uncultured bacterium. RNAcentral's name for it is "partial 16S ribosomal RNA". It matches the Rfam family "Bacterial small subunit ribosomal RNA", at positions 28 to 523 of the family's 1533-position model. The record is from RNAcentral.
GACGAACGCUGGCGGCGUGCCUAAUACAUGCAAGUUGAGCGCUGAAGACUGGUACUUGUACCGGUUGGAUGAGCAGCGAACGGGUGAGUAACGCGUGGGUAACCUGCCCUAUAGAGGGGGAUAACUAGAGGAAACUUUAGCUAAUACCGCAUAAAAUCUAAUAACACAUGUUAUAAGAUUGAAAGUGCCAACUGGUACACUAUAGGACGGACCCGCGUUGUAUUAGCUAGUUGGUGAGGUAAAGGCUCACCAAGGCGAUGAUACAUAGCCGACCUGCGAGGUUGAUCGGCCCCCCUGGGAAUGAAACCCGGCCCAGACUACUACGGGAGGCAGCAGUAGGGAAUCUUCGGCAAUGGACGAAAGUCUGACCGAGCAACGCCGCGUGAGUGAGGAAGGUUUUCGGAUCGUAAAACUCUGUUGUAAGAGAAGAACACCAGUAAGAGUGGAAAGCUUACUGGCUGACGGUAUCUUACCAGAAAGCCACGGCUAACUACGUGCCAGCCGCCGCCGUAA